RNAcentral lists this small RNA (83 nucleotides) under Vibrio coralliilyticus. RNAcentral describes it as "isrK". It matches the Rfam family "isrK Hfq binding RNA". The record is from RNAcentral. Lineage: Bacteria; Pseudomonadati; Pseudomonadota; Gammaproteobacteria; Vibrionales; Vibrionaceae.
GCACUGGCAAAAUCCAGUGUCGGGAUUAGUACCCCGCUUUAUUACUCAAGGCACAUAAGCGCCAGCGUUUUUGCUGGUUUUUU